RNAcentral lists this ribosomal RNA (512 nucleotides) under uncultured bacterium. RNAcentral describes it as "partial 16S ribosomal RNA". It matches the Rfam family "Bacterial small subunit ribosomal RNA", at positions 28 to 523 of the family's 1533-position model. The record is from RNAcentral.
GACGAACGCUGGCGGCGUGCCUAAUACAUGCAAGUCGAGCGAAUGGAAGGGAGCUUGCUCCCUGAAGUUAGCGGCGGACGGGUGAGUAACACGUGGGCAACCUGCCUGUAAGACUGGGAUAACUUCGGGAAACCGGAGCUAAUACCGGAUACGUUCUUUCCUCGCAUGAGGAAAGAUGGAAAGAUGGUUUCGGCUAUCACUUACAGAUGGGCCCGCGGCGCAUUAGCUAGUUGGUGGGGUAAUGGCCCACCAAGGCGACGAUGCGUAGCCGACCUGAGAGGGUGAUCGGCCACACUGGGACUGAGACACGGCCCAGACUCCUACGGGAGGCAGCAGUAGGGAAUCUUCCGCAAUGGACGAAAGUCUGACGGAGCAACGCCGCGUGAGCGAAGAAGGCCUUCGGGUCGUAAAGCUCUGUUGUCAGGGAAGAACGAGUGCCAGAGUAACUGCCGGCACCUUGACGGUACCUGACCAGAAAGCCACGGCUAACUACGUGCCAGCCGCCGCUGUAA